Molecule: ribosomal RNA, 500 nt
Filed under: uncultured bacterium
Lineage: Bacteria
Description: partial 16S ribosomal RNA
Rfam family: Bacterial small subunit ribosomal RNA
Source: RNAcentral
GACGAACGCUGGCGGCGUGCUUAACACAUGCAAGUCGAACGGGUCUGCCCUGUUUUUUGCGGGGUGGGACAGUGGCGAACGGGUGAGUAACACGUGAGUAACCUGCCCCUCACUUCUGGAUAACCGCUUGAAAGGGUGGCUAAUACGGGGUGUUCUGGCUGUGCCGCAUGGUGUGGCUGGGAAAGAUUCACUUUUGUCGUGUAUUGGUGGGGGAUGGGCGUGGGGCCUAUCAGUUUGUUGGGGGGGUGAUGGCCUGCCAGGGGUUUGACGGGUCGCCGGCCUGGGAGGGUGGGCGGACUCACUGGGACUGAGGGACGGCCCAGACUCCGGCGGGAGGCAGAAGUGGGGGGUAGUGCAGGAUGGGCGGAAGCCUGAUGCAGCGACGGCGCGUGAGGGAUGGAGGCCGUCGGGUUGUGAACCUCUUUCGCGGGUGAAGAAGGUCCUGCUGUUUGUGGUGGGGUGGACGGUAGCCGGGUCAGGAAGCGCCGGCUAACUACGUG